Passer domesticus (house sparrow) is the source of this 346-nucleotide long non-coding RNA. RefSeq lists it as uncharacterized. Lineage: Eukaryota; Metazoa; Chordata; Aves; Passeriformes; Passeridae. The transcript is spliced from 2 exons. The record is from RefSeq and is a predicted model, not a curated record.
CAUUUUAUUAAAAAUAGACGUGAAAAUCAAUAGGUGUUUUCAGAUAAGCAGAGAGAGAACUCUGCAGAGCUCUGCUGGUGGCUGUGGCACCCUUUGGAAAUCACGUUUGGGCUUCAGGCUCUGAGGGGGAGCAGCUGCUCCCAAAAAUUCCCAAUUCCAGAGGAGCAGCUCCUCCUGCUGCCCCCAAAAAUUCCCAAUUCCAGAGGAGCAGCUGCCCCCAAAAAUUCCCAAUUCCAGAGGAGCAGCUCCUCCAGCUGCCAGGAAUUCAGGGAGUUCCCAAUGCCCUGGGUGUUUUCAAUUUGAAAAAAAAAAAAACCCACAAAAACCCCACUUUUAUGAACAGAAA